UUGGCGGACGGGUGAGUAACGCGUGGAAAACCUGCCGUAUACUGGGGGAUAACACUUAGAAAUAGGUGCUAAUACCGCAUAAGCGCACAGCUUCGCAUGAAGCGGUGUGAAAACUCUGGUGGUAUACGAUGGUUCCGCGUCUGAUUAGCUAGUUGGUGGGGUAAUGGCCUACCAAGGCAACGAUCAGUAGCCGGCCUGAGAGGGUGAACGGCCACAUUGGGACUGAGACACGGCCCAAACUCCUACGGGAGGCAGCAG
RNAcentral lists this ribosomal RNA (258 nucleotides) under uncultured bacterium. Its description in RNAcentral is "partial 16S ribosomal RNA". It matches the Rfam family "Bacterial small subunit ribosomal RNA", at positions 95 to 354 of the family's 1533-position model. The record is from RNAcentral.